AACGAACGCUGGCGGCAUGCCUAACACAUGCAAGUCGAACGAGACCUUCGGGUCUAGUGGCGCACGGGUGCGUAACGCGUGGGAACCUGCCCUUAGGUUCGGAAUAACUCCCCGAAAGGGGUGCUAAUACCGGAUAAUGUCUUCGGACCAAAGAUUUAUCGCCUUUGGAUGGGCCCGCGUUGGAUUAGCUAGUUGGUAGGGUAAAAGCCUACCAAGGCGACGAUCCAUAGCUGGUCUGAGAGGAUGAUCAGCCACACUGGGACUGAGACACGGCCCAGAAUUCCUCGGGAAGGAGGCAGGGGGGAAUAUGGAACAAGGGGCGAAGGCUUAACCCGCCAAGGCGGGGGAAUUGAGGAAGGCUUAAGGGUGGAAAAGCUCUUUAACCCGGGAUGAUAAGACAGGAACCGGAAAAUAAAGCCCGGCUAAACCCGUG
RNAcentral lists this ribosomal RNA (433 nucleotides) under uncultured bacterium. RNAcentral describes it as "partial 16S ribosomal RNA". It matches the Rfam family "Bacterial small subunit ribosomal RNA", at positions 29 to 507 of the family's 1533-position model. The record is from RNAcentral.